ACCAGACGAUGCGGUUACCGCGGCUGCUGGCACGGAGUUAGCCGGUGCUUCUUCUGUGAGUGAUGUCCUUCCUGCCGGCUAUUAACCCGCAGGCCUUCUUCCUCACUGAAAGUGCUUUACAACCCGAAGGCCUUCUUCACACACGCGGCAUGGCUGGAUCAGGGUUGCCCCCAUUGUCCAAUAUUCCCCACUGCUGCCUCCCGUAGGAGUCUGGGCCGUGUCUCAGUCCCAGUGUGGCUGAUCAUCCUCUCAGACCAGCUACGGAUCGUCGCCUUGGUGAGCCGUUACCUCACCAACCAGAUAAUCCGACAUAGGCUCAUCCGAUAGCGCGAGGCCCGAAGGUCCCCCGCUUUCCCCCGUAGGGCGUAUGCGGUAUUAGCCUGGGUUUCCCCAGGUUAUCCCCACUACCGGGCAGAUUCCUAUGCAUUACUCACCCGUCCGCCGCUCGCCACCAGGGAGCAAGCUCCCCGUGCUGCCGCUCGACUUGCAUGUGUUAGGCCUGCCGCCAGCGUUCAAU
This 517-nucleotide ribosomal RNA is filed under the name uncultured bacterium. RNAcentral's name for it is "partial 16S ribosomal RNA". The record is from RNAcentral.